GAUGAACGCUGGCGGCGUGCCUAAUACAUGCAAGUCGAGCGAACGGACGAGAAGCUUGCUUCUCUGAUGUUAGCGGCGGACGGGUGAGUAACACGUGGAUAACCUACCUAUAAGACUGGGAUAACUUCGGGAAACCGGAGCUAAUACCGGAUAAUAUUUUGAACCGCACGGUUCAAAAGUGAAAGACGGUCUUGCUGUCACUUAUAGAUGGAUCCGCGCUGCAUUAGCUAGUUGGUAAGGUAACGGCUUACCAAGGCAACGAUGCAUAGCCGACCUGAGAGGGUGAUCGGCCACACUGGAACUGAGACACGGUCCAGACUCCUACGGGAGGCAGCAGUAGGGAAUCUUCCGCAAUGGGCGGAAGCCUGACGGAGCAACGCCGCGUGAGUGAUGAAGGUCUUCGGAUCGUAAAACUCUGUUAUUAGGGAAGAACAUAUGUGUAAGUAACUGUGCACAUCUUGACGGUACCUAAUCAGAAAGCCACGGCUAACUACGUG
This 497-nucleotide ribosomal RNA is filed under the name uncultured bacterium. RNAcentral's name for it is "partial 16S ribosomal RNA". It matches the Rfam family "Bacterial small subunit ribosomal RNA", at positions 28 to 507 of the family's 1533-position model. The record is from RNAcentral.